Mus musculus (house mouse) is the source of this 2059-nucleotide long non-coding RNA. RefSeq annotates it as predicted gene, 39386. The record is from RefSeq and is a predicted model, not a curated record. The transcript has 2 exons. Lineage: Eukaryota; Metazoa; Chordata; Mammalia; Rodentia; Muridae.
AACACAAAGAAACAAGCUUGGGUGUUUUUCUUCUAAUCAAAAGGAACUGUGAAGAAAUUGUGCCCCCUGCUGAUUUAAUUUAAUAUUAAAGUUGUCAACAAGCCAGCGCUGAGGAGAGCUUCCUUCAUGUCCUCAAGGUCACAAUUGAAAUUCGCCCUUAGUAGCUCAGCAGCCCGUGCCAGCGACUGGAAACCUUCCACGUAAUUAAAGGAGAAAAAAAUUAAAAUGAAAAGAAGCCACGCUUCCCAAGAGCUUCGUGGAGAUAUUCGUUCUGCGGACUUCUCUGUAUUACAUGUACCUUUGGUAACAGCUGAACACAGGUCCCUAAGAUUAGUGCCAUCUUUACAAGAACCAAAGGACAUUAGAACCCUGACCUGAAUACUAGAGAAAUAAAAACGUAGGUCCCAAGACUGGAAGGACAUUCAGAGGCAGGCAGCCUGGUAGCCAUUUAACUGUGAGCCAAUGAACAGUAUACACCUUCCCAGAGGUUCCAGGCUGGGGCAGUAUUGAAGACCAGAAAUGCACCAACGAGUUCUCUUUCUUUUUCUCCUUUGGACUCGCUUCUGCCUCUUCAUAUCGUCUCUCGGCCUUGGCUUUUUUAUUUGUUAACUUUAAAAAAAUUCUUCCUUUAUGUGUAUUUGCGUGUGUCUGGUAUACACAUAUAUUUACCACCUGCUGGCAGGUGACAGAGAGGGUGGAAACAAACUGUCGGAUCCCCUGGAACUGGGGUUACAAAUGGCUGUGAGCUGCUGGAUGUGGGUCCAUGGGAACACGGAUCCUCUUUAAGAACAGAAAGUGCUCUUAACCUAAGAGCCAUCUCUUCAAGGCCUCAAUGCCGACUUUUAAUUUACUUUUCUAGUUUGUAACUCGUGGCCACACGAUCCUACUAACAAAGUUAACUGGCAGGAACAUGUGUGUUUCUAGUCUUCCCUUCUUCGAAAUAAUUCUCGCGCAUAGAAAGAUGCAAUGUGACCUUGAAGAAGAUAAUGCGGAAAGUGCUUCAAGAGAGAGGGCGUUCUCUCAUGCCAGGCCACACGAUGGUGGCACAGUGACCACACUAUGGUGGCACAGCGUCUUCUCUGGGAAGAGAAAGAGUUCCUCCGCCGAUCUGCAGCAGAUGCAAACAUUUUGUUCUAGUUUCACCGAAUAGGGGAACAGGUAAGGUAAUGCUGCCUUUCAGCCGCGACCCUAACAGUGAUUUUAUUCUUUCAGGUAGCUUGACCGGUGAUUAUGAUCUCCAGAUUUGCCCCAAAAGUGCAGCACUCUGACGUGAAUCUUAUUUAAAUAUAGGUUUCAGGCGGGGGUGGGGGUCGGGAGAGACAAAUAACUACCUUAGUUUUGGUUUUGUUGUUUUUCUGAAAUUCACCUUUAAUUGGUCCUCCGUAUUUUAUCUGAUCGGCUUUUUUUAUUUUCUGUGUUUCAUGCUGUUUGUUUUCGAGAGCAUUCCAAAUGGAUUAUUCUCCAAGAUUGCUGAGCCAGGGGCUGGGACGCUCCACGCGACUGAGCAGCCACUUGACUUGAGCUCUCGUCUCCCUCUAGUGGCCGCCAAGGAUAUCUUCACCGAGCCCUCUCGUGGCCACCAACAGGGCUUCCAGACCUGAAGAAAGUGGUGCUGUCCACAAAGCAGAGAUGUAGUUUCUAUUGCAUCAGUUAAAAAUGCACUGGACAGGAGCUGAAGAGAUGGCUCAGCAGUUAAGACCAUGCACCUAGAGGGCCCGAGUUCAGUUCCCAGCACCCCUGUCUGGGGUCUCAGAUGUACUGCUAAUCCAGUUCUAAGUGAUCCAAUUGCCCCCUGCCGGAGGAUGUGCACACCCACACACACAUAAAAAUAAAUGCUUCUCCACAGACUGCUCCAUCUCACCAGUGAAAACUGGUAAACACUGGCAUUUCAUGCUGAGGGAAAAACCCAAGCCCUUCCUCCAGCUGGCUCGAGAUGAUUUAUCAAGAUGAAUUUUAUUCAGGGGCGGGCCUAAGGUAGGAGGCCACAGUUGAAGGCUAGUCUGUUCGCCUUUGGUUUGAGAACCUACCUUGAAAUAAAAAGAAGAUGGAUAGUAAAUUA